This 253-nucleotide ribosomal RNA is filed under the name uncultured bacterium. Its description in RNAcentral is "partial 16S ribosomal RNA". It matches the Rfam family "Bacterial small subunit ribosomal RNA", at positions 524 to 776 of the family's 1533-position model. The record is from RNAcentral.
UACGGGGGAUCCGAGCGUUAUCCGGAUUUAUUGGGUUUAAAGGGUGCGUAGGCGGGCAUACAAGUCAGCGGUGAAAGUUUCCGGCUCAACCGGGGAAUUGCCAUUGAAACUGUACGCCUUGAGUGCAGACGAGGCAGGCGGAAUUCGUAGUGUAGCGGUGAAAUGCUUAGAUAUUACGAAGAACACCAAUUGCGUAGGCAGCUUGCCAGGCUGCAACUGACGCUGAGGCACGAAGGUGCGGGGAUCAAACAGG